AUGCGGAUAAUAUAGCUAUGCGAAAUUUGCCGUUUUUCAGUCAUUUUGUAUUACGCAUGGGAAAUUGACAGCCCAAUCAGGUGCUGGGGCAUCAAUUUCCCGUUUGUAAUACAAAAUGACUGAAAAACGGCAAAUUUCGCAUGGCUAUAUUAUCCGCAUUU
Non-coding RNA from Paramuricea clavata, 161 nucleotides. Lineage: Eukaryota; Metazoa; Cnidaria; Anthozoa; Malacalcyonacea; Plexauridae. The record is from the annotation of a GenBank genome assembly.